UUUUCAGCUAAUCAAGUACGAAGAAUAAAUGCAUUACACAUCUGCCAUUUUUGGCCUCCCCUGUGACACUGUUGUGCCAUCGGUGGAAUGUCCACUGCUGCUUUCCUUUCUUCUGCUGCUUUGGACAUUCCAGAAAGUUAGGUUAGGUUUACUAACCCUCUUUUCUGUUCUUUCUUCCUUUUUUCCUUCUUGUGUGCUUGGCUUGUGUGUUUGUUUUGUGUGUGGGUUAGGGUUCUUCCUUUCCAGGUUCAGAGCACUGCUGCUGCAUCUUCCUUCAUACCGACUUGGAUUUCAACUGCUUCUUUAUUUUUAAAUAAAACUCAGCACUAUCCACACAAUAUAUACAUUAC
This 350-nucleotide long non-coding RNA is filed under the name Androctonus crassicauda. Lineage: Eukaryota; Metazoa; Arthropoda; Arachnida; Scorpiones; Buthidae. The record is from RNAcentral.